RNAcentral lists this ribosomal RNA (494 nucleotides) under uncultured bacterium. RNAcentral's name for it is "partial 16S ribosomal RNA". It matches the Rfam family "Bacterial small subunit ribosomal RNA", at positions 28 to 507 of the family's 1533-position model. The record is from RNAcentral.
GACGAACGCUGGCGGCGUGCUUAAUACAUGCAAGUCGAACGGUGAAGCGACUUCCUUUUUGGUGUGUGUGGAUGAGUGGCGAACGGGUGAGUAACUCGUUAGUAACCUUCUACGUCUUUCUGGAUAACCGCAUGACAGAGUGGCUAAUACGGGAUAUUUUGGGUCUGUCGCUUGAUGGGUCUGGGACAGAUUUUGUUUCGGUGGGAGAUGGGUCCGCGGCCUAUCAGCUUGUUGGUGGGGUGAUGGCCUACCAAGGCGGUGAUGGGUAGCCGGCCUGAGAGGGUCGGCGGUAACACAGGUGAGGAAGCACCGCGCAGACUACGACGGGAAGCAGCAGGGGGGAUUAUGGCACAAUGGGCAGAAGGCUGGUGCAGCGACGCGGCGGUGAUGAUGGAGGCCUGCGGGUAGUAAACUGCUUUCGCCAGUGAAGAAAGGCGGACGCGUUUGUGGAUGGGUUGACGGUAGCUAGAUAAGAAGCGCCGGCUAACUACGUG